Molecule: ribosomal RNA, 490 nt
Filed under: uncultured bacterium
Lineage: Bacteria
Description: partial 16S ribosomal RNA
Rfam family: Bacterial small subunit ribosomal RNA
Source: RNAcentral
AAUGAACGCUGGCGGCAGGCUUAACACAUGCAAGUCGAGCGGUAGCACAGGGGAGCUUGCUCCCUGGGUGACGAGCGGCGGGCGGGUGAGACAUGUCUGGGAAACUGCCUGAUGGAGGGGGAUAACUACUGGAAACGGUUGCUAAUACCGCAUAACGUCGCAAGCACAAAGGGGGGGAGAUUGUUGCGUCUUGCCAUCAGAUGCUCGCAGGUGGGAUUCGCUAGUAGGUGGGGUAAUCGCUCCCCUAGGCGACGAUCCCUAGCUGGUCGGAGAGGAUGGCCAGCCGCACGGGAAGGGGGACACGGUCCAGACGCCUACGGGAGGCAGCAGUGGGGAAUAGUGGGCAGAGGGCGCGAGCCUGAUGCAGUGAUGCCGCGUGUGUGAAGAAGGCCUUCGGGUUGGAAAGCACGUUCAGGGGGGAGGAAGGGGGUGAGCUUGAGACGUUCAGCAAGUGACGGUACUGGCUGAAGAAGCACCGGCUAACUCCGUG